UACGGGGGGGGCGAGCGUUGUUCGGAAUCACUGGGCGUAAAGGGCGCGUAGGCGGCCCGCACAAGUCUGCGGUGAAAACCCCCGGCUUAACCGGGGGCCGGCCGUGGAAACUGUCGGGCUGGAGGCUGGGAGAGGGCAGCGGAAUUCCCGGUGUAGCGGUGAAAUGCGUAGAGAUCGGGAGGAACACCUGCGGCGAAGGCGGGUUGCUGGGCUGACACUGACGCUGAUGCGCGAAAGCCAGGGGAGCGAACGGG
This 254-nucleotide ribosomal RNA is filed under the name uncultured bacterium. Its description in RNAcentral is "partial 16S ribosomal RNA". It matches the Rfam family "Bacterial small subunit ribosomal RNA", at positions 524 to 776 of the family's 1533-position model. The record is from RNAcentral.